AACGCACAUUGCGCCCCUUGGUAUUCCAUGGGGCAUGCCUGUUCGAGCGUCAUUUGUACCCUCAAGCUUUGCUUGGUGUUGGGCGUCUUGUCUACCUCUUUAGCGGGUAGACUCGCCUUAAAGUAAUUGGCAGCCAGUGUUUUUGGCAGUAAGCGCAGCACAUUUUGCGUCUUAGUCCCUAAACAGUGGCAUCCACAAAGCCUCUUUCUCACUUUUGACCUCGGAUCAGGUAGGGAUACCCGCUGAACUUAA
RNAcentral lists this unclassified non-coding RNA (252 nucleotides) under uncultured Pleosporales. Its description in RNAcentral is "sequence contains 5.8S rRNA gene, ITS2, 28S rRNA gene". The record is from RNAcentral. Lineage: Eukaryota; Fungi; Ascomycota; Dothideomycetes; Pleosporales.